UAUCUGACGAACUAGGAAACAAAGCUGAAGAAAAACCAGAUGAAAGUGCAGAUUCAGUUUUUAAUGCAGUGGUAUUCUUUGCCAAAUGUUCGAAAGUCAAUCUGAGUUCAUUUGUAAAUGAUGCGAUGGAUCGAAGUUUUGAUGAUGCGGAGAUGGCUGAAAGUACUAUCUCAGGAAAGGUGCCCAAUUUCUACAAAAAACACCCUGAGCUGGCACAGCCACGAAAACAAUUGGAUCCCAUAAAAAUCGAAAGAAUCAAAAACUACGCCGAGAAACAUUUUCCCAAUGAAAUGAAGCUGUUGAAUAAUUGCAUCAGAAACAAGUGUGGCAACGCGAAAAAAAAAGUUCAACGAAUGAAUAAUCAGUCGUCAUCGUUGCAGUAACCGAAGACUCACCGAGCUGAAAUGGAGCAAUAAUACUAAUAAAUAUGACUUUUUGAUUUA
This is a long non-coding RNA of Planococcus citri (citrus mealybug), 443 nucleotides long. RefSeq lists it as uncharacterized. The transcript has 3 exons. NCBI's taxonomy places the organism in Eukaryota, Metazoa, Arthropoda, Insecta, Hemiptera, Pseudococcidae. The record is from RefSeq and is a predicted model, not a curated record.